This 58-nucleotide small RNA is filed under the name Flavobacterium sp. 270. RNAcentral's name for it is "Flavo-1 RNA". The record is from RNAcentral. Lineage: Bacteria; Pseudomonadati; Bacteroidota; Flavobacteriia; Flavobacteriales; Flavobacteriaceae.
CUUUAGCCCCGAUUGAGCCGGUAUCCUCGGAGAGAUAUAGGCGAAAGCGGGAACCCAU